Molecule: long non-coding RNA, 3027 nt
Filed under: Mytilus galloprovincialis (Mediterranean mussel)
Lineage: Eukaryota; Metazoa; Mollusca; Bivalvia; Mytilida; Mytilidae
Source: RNAcentral
UGUUUCCGUACGUCAUUUGAAUUAGAAUUAUGCAUGCUUUUUUUAAUGGGAAUUGUGACGUCCCAAUGCAUCCUUACUAGCACGAAAACCCAUGAGACAAGGAUAUAUAAUACAAUAUUUGAUAUAUCUCUGGUUUCAGCAAUAAAGAACAUAAAGCUGGUCGGUUAUCAAUGUUUAACUGCAUUUUGCGGUUAUAUAUUUUUUUGCACCAUAUGGUUACGGGAGGUCGUACGUGCGGUUUUAAUCGCAGUACGUGAAAUCUUAAAUGUCGACAUUAUAAUUUGAUUUUAUCUGUGAUCGAAAUUAGAGACUUAUCACCACAGAAAUCUAAUAAUAGAAUGUCAUACGAAAAUUAAAUUGUGCACGAAAUUGUAAUAUUGUAAUGACUAUAUCCAGCAGUUUGUAAUGUAUUUCAUUCAAACAAAGAACGGUUAAAAACUUUUUUUAGUAUUUAGGAAAAAAAAGAAUCUACACUGAAAAAUCGAACUCCAAGACAAAAAAAAUAUGAAAGAAAAUUUGUAAUCCACAAUUUUUUCAUCUCGGAUGAAAUAAAUAUCUCUUAGUUUUUAAUGUAUCUGUGGCCUUUGUCUGGAACGAUUUGUUUAAUUUACCCUAUUACUCCUUCUUCUCUAACACUGUUAACAUAAUCAGUGCGAUUAAAAGAAAAAGAAAUCAUUUUCUAUACUUGAGAAUUUGUGCCUGAAGUGUUUAUGCAAGGUUCUGACAAAAGCGUCGGAAAACAGUCAUUUUAAAGCUUCCUAGUUAAGUUUAUAGAACCCGAGGGUACUUCUAUCUGACAGAUAAUUAUAUUAGGUUGUAGUAUUGUUCUGAUAAUUUUACCAGAAAGUACAACCCGGUUAUCAUUUUUUUCGAAGAUAAUUGUGAAUCAUAAUACCUCGCUCAAGUUACAAAGACAUUACAGAAAAGAAUUUCAUGGUCAGUGUCCAGUUUUUAUCAGAGUAGACUACAGCAAAAUCAAUAAAAUACUGAAAUUCGAGGUAAAUUCAAAACGGAAAACGGUAAGCAAAUAGCAAAAUCAAAAGCUCUAACAACGUCGUGUAAAUAUAAGAUAAAGAUGAUAUCGUCAAUCGCCCGUACCUCUUCCUUUUCUUUGCAUUGAACUGCAAAAGCUCCAUAUACCUGAUUUUUAAAUUCGAUAUUUUAUUGACGAGCCCUUAAAUGAAUGGGAAAAAAAAGGUUUCUGUUUAAGAAAAUUUAUUUUGACCACACUCCUGUGACAUUCAAUUGACGAAACAAUUCUCUUAAUCAAAUAUCUGUUUUUUUAUAUAAAUGAUUAAUUUUUAAUGACUCUUUGUAAAGCAACAGUAGACAAACUUAUAAAUAUUGGCAAGGUAUGCAAAUAUUUAUUUAGCUAAUAAAGUGGCCACAGGAGGCUUAACUUCAUUAAGAUAUACUUUAACUAUUUGUUUGACAAACAUAAUGUCUACUUUCCAUUUUCUUGCUUCACUUCAUCCAUUAUUUUUUUUUUCAACUGCAGUUGAACAUUUAACUGAAUGCAUUAUCAGUUUCAAGAAAUCAUGCGGGAAUUAUAAAACCGCUAUAGUAAUCUAAUACUGUCAUCUAAUUACGUAAUCGAGUGGUCCCUACAUUGGUAACGGUAACCACACUUGCGGCUUUCCUUGCAUGUUGCGGUGGCAGUUGUUUCUCGUAUUUGACCAAGACAAUCGUUUUUAUUUAUUUUAUAUUAUAAUUUCAUUAAAAAAGGUAGUUAAGGAAACGCGAUGAUUAAUUUUGUGCACUAAUUGCUGUUCUCUAUAUGAUACAAGCAACAUCUGUUUGUCGUGAAAUGAAGAUGCAAAAAGAUUAUUUUAAAUAACAUUCAGUCCAUAUUUUAAUAUUUAAUUCCAAAUAAAAUCUAUUCAAUCGAGGUUGCCGCAAAGGGAAAACGAUGUGCAUGUAUUAUGUCGUAUUUAGGUUUUAUCGUUGUUCAGAAGAGCAGUAAAUUAAUUCUGCAGUUUGUGAAAUAGAACUGGUAUGUACGGUGCAAUAUUGACUUACUUAGUGCAGUUAUCGAUAGAAACGUCGCGAGAUACUGGUGUUAUUAUCGCAUUCAAAAAGUUGUACGUCUAAUUGUCAUUAUUGCGGUUUUCACGGUAGAUUCAGAAUACGGCUUUUUUUAGUUGCUUGUUAAAAAAACUUCAAAUGUUUUAGGUUAAAGCUCUACCGAUUCAUGCGAGGUGGCAUUAUUUCCUCUCGAACAUGAAGUGUCUUACAGACUAUACUAAGAUCGACAGGCCGAUAUGCUACGAUACAAAUUGAUAGAUAGAAAACAGAUAUUGUUCCCGCUGAUUCCCUUGUAUAUAUGUGUGCAGAACUCAAUGGCACUGCCAUGCUAGAUACAUGUAUACCGUUGUCUAUUCGCCACGACAUUCUGGAGUGUAUAAAUCUGUACAAUUGCAGUGCGUAUAGUGUAUUAAAAAGAAAUUGAUUGCUUUUGUAAUUAAAAUGUAUAUUAAACAAAUGGUUUCAAUUCCGAAUAUAAAUUUUCAUAUUUUUUUAAUUUGCUAAUAAAAUAUUAUCUAACAGAAACAUGAAUCUUGAAAGUUCUGAAGGUAUUUCGCUUAUAAAAUUCGUUAAAAUGUAUUGUUGAAAGCCAUUUAGAAAACGUGCAUUCAAACGUUUUUAUUUUGGCUAACGUCUGCAAGUGCGUAACGCUAGGUGACACCAGUAUCAUACGACGUUUCAUACAUUUGAUUGCCAUAGUCUCAUUAUGCAAUUCAAAAGGCUAUUGUAGUUCAGUUUCAGAUUAUACUGGCUGGUAAAUAUCCACCAACCAUCUACUGAAAGUCGUACUUGUAAACUUGCUUAUUCACGGGUUAGAACGAGUAUAGAGUAGAAUUGACUAUCAAACGUUGUCGACUGAAUGUAAUGGCGGAUUGCAUGCCUAGUUACUGGUUUGACGAGUAUAAGAGUAGAAUCUGCUAUAUAAUCGGCUAUUAAGGGACGACAUCAAAAGUUCAAUGUAGGAUAAAGAACUUAAUUCACAUAGUUUUUUCACUGACCCCC